Molecule: long non-coding RNA, 1050 nt
Organism: Gymnodraco acuticeps
Lineage: Eukaryota; Metazoa; Chordata; Actinopteri; Perciformes; Bathydraconidae
Exons: 3
Source: RefSeq, a predicted model, not a curated record
UUAAUGCAUAUCACUAACUCAACCCCGGGGCACCGCUCCCCGGAGUUCGUGUCCCUCCUCUUGCAGGUUUUGAAAUAUUACAGGAUGGGUCUGGAUCAUGAACCGUGACAGAGCCUGUUGCCGUGUUCCUGCUCGAAGCCCAUCGUAAUGUCUUUGGAGUAACAGGGACAUUUUCUGACAACAUCAUGGAUCCUUCAUUUUCAUGUAGGUCAACUUUGUCAUUUUUAUUGUCUUUGCAGGAAUUGCAGUUUUUUUUUUCUCCAAAAAGUUGAUGUUUAAUUGAUUUAAACGCACUUUUUGAAGCAUUGAACGUGGUUGUUAUGGGGUUGUUUGUGAAUAUGGUAGUUUUGGCUGUCGUUUGAGGUGGUCAAGGCGGUUGUGUUUGCGGUCGUUUUUUGAGAUGGUGAAGGCGUUGUGUGUGAUGUGGUGAACACAGUUGUUUUGGCGGUCGUUUGAGGUGAUGGUUUUGGCGGUCGCUUAAGGUGGUAGUUUUGGCGGUCUGAGGUGGUGAACUAGGUUGUUUUGGUGGUCUGAGGUGGUUAAGGCAGUUUUGGCGCUGGUUCGAUGUGGAAUCCUCUGUUAGUACACAGUGUUUAACUUGUUUUAAUGCUGGUCUCCAUCCCCUUUGCAGCUUUAGCUCAGGCUGACCUUGGACCAGCCCCUAGUUUAUGCUCCUAUAGGCAUAGGCUUAGACUUCCUCUCUAUGUAUACAUUCAUUAAUGCAUAUCACUAACUCAACCCCCGGGGCAUCGCUCCCCGGAGUUUAUGUGUCCCUCCUCUUGCAGGUUUGCAGUAUUACAGGAUUGGUCUGGAUCAUGAACCGUGACUAGGCCUGUUGCCGUGGUCCUGCUCGAAGCCCAUCAAGACCCCGAGAUACUUGAACUCCUUCACUUGGGGGUUCGCCGUUUCCCUGGGGACUCUUUACUGUGACGGACCCUGGGAACUAUGACGGGAGAACAGGAAGAGGUUGGCGUGCCAAUCCAGCCCCCCGACAUUUAGGAUUAAUGUGUUUCUCAUACUGACGUCAACCAUUCAAUAAACGGGUUUGAA